ACAAUGGACGAAAGUCUGAUGGAGCAACGCCGCGUGAACGAUGAAGGCUUUCGGGUCGUAAAGUUCUGUUGUAAGGGAAGAACAAGUGCCGCAGGCAAUGGCGGCACCUUGACGGUACCUUGCGAGAAAGCCACGGCUAACUACGUGCCAGCAGCCGCGGUAAUACGUAGGUGGCAAGCGUUGUCCGGAAUUAUUGGGCGUAAAGCGCGCGCAGGCGGCCUCUUAAGUCUGAUGUGAAAGCCCCCGGCUCAACCGGGGAGGGCCAUUGGAAACUGGGAGGCUUGAGUAUAGGAGAGAAGAGUGGAAUUCCACGUGUAGCGGUGAAAUGCGUAGAGAUGUGGAGGAACACCAGUGGCGAAGGCGACUCUUUGGCCUAUAACUGACGCUGAGGCGCGAAAGCGUGGGGAGCAAACAGGAUUAGAUACCCUGGUAGUCCACGCCGUAAACGAUGAGUGCUAGGUGUUGGAGGGU
This 471-nucleotide ribosomal RNA is filed under the name Exiguobacterium sp. Its description in RNAcentral is "bacterial SSU rRNA". It matches the Rfam family "Bacterial small subunit ribosomal RNA", at positions 368 to 831 of the family's 1533-position model. Lineage: Bacteria; Bacillati; Bacillota; Bacilli; Caryophanales. The record is from RNAcentral.